This 119-nucleotide small nucleolar RNA is filed under the name Echinops telfairi (small Madagascar hedgehog). Its description in RNAcentral is "Small nucleolar RNA SNORA61 (ENSETEG00000026625.1)". The record is from RNAcentral. Lineage: Eukaryota; Metazoa; Chordata; Mammalia; Afrosoricida; Tenrecidae.
ACCUUCCAGAUUCCUUACCCAUCAGACCUAAACCCUGAUGAGCAGUGAUAAAAGGAGGAAGAGUAAAAUGGACACAGACUUAAGUUUUUGUUUCAUACACAAGCUAGUUUCAAGCAAAC